UCCAACAUGAAGCUCAGUAUCUCAUGCAUCACUGCAACUGCCCUCUUAUCAAACUCUGGUGAUCCAGGAGUCAAUCCCUUUGCCUCUGCAUAAGGGGACAGGUAGGUGACCUUCUGAAACUGCUCGGUAUUGCCAGUUUUCACAUAAUGAUGAGCUUUUCCUCGAAAUCUGUAGUGACUAGUAAAAUUUGGUGGGAAUUUCAUCGGGAACGGAAGCGAGAGAUCUCCUGGUGGACUGGCAUUGGCAUCGCCAGUCGACACAGACGCCUUCUUCUCAAGCUCAGUGACUGCCC
RNAcentral lists this long non-coding RNA (292 nucleotides) under Sorghum bicolor (sorghum). Its description in RNAcentral is "long non-coding RNA (SBIC_LNC001745)". The record is from RNAcentral. Lineage: Eukaryota; Viridiplantae; Streptophyta; Magnoliopsida; Poales; Poaceae.